CAGCCGCCACGGUAAUACGGAGGGUGCAAGCGUUAAUCGGAAUUACUGGGCGUAAAGCGCACGCAGGCGGUCUGACAAGUCAGAUGUGAAAUCCCCGGGCUUAACCUGGGAACUGCAUUUGAAACUGUCAGGCUGGAGUCUUGUAGAGGGGGGUGGAAUUCCAGGUGUAGCGGUGAAAUGCGUAGAGAUCUGGAGGAAUACCGGUGGCGAAGGCGGCCCCCUGGACAAAGACUGACGCUCAGGUGCGAAAGCGUGGGGAGCAAACAGGAUUAGAUACCCCUGUAGUCCCUGUCUCUUAUAC
This 301-nucleotide ribosomal RNA is filed under the name uncultured bacterium. Its description in RNAcentral is "partial 16S ribosomal RNA". It matches the Rfam family "Bacterial small subunit ribosomal RNA", at positions 509 to 807 of the family's 1533-position model. The record is from RNAcentral.